RNAcentral lists this ribosomal RNA (301 nucleotides) under uncultured bacterium. RNAcentral describes it as "partial 16S ribosomal RNA". It matches the Rfam family "Bacterial small subunit ribosomal RNA", at positions 509 to 809 of the family's 1533-position model. The record is from RNAcentral.
CAGUCGCCACGGGAAUACGAAGGGGGCUAGCGUUGUUCGGAAUUACUGGGCGUAAAGCGCACGUAGGCGGAUAUUUAAGUCAGGGGUGAAAUCCCGCAGCUCAACUGCGGAACUGCCUUUGAUACUGGGUAUCUUGAGUAUGGAAGAGGUUAGUGGAAUUGCGAGUGUAGAGGUGAAAUUCGUAGAUAUUCGCAGGAACACCAGUGGCGAAGGCGGCUAACUGGUCCAUAACUGACGCUGAGGUGCGAAAGCGUGGGGAGCAAACAGGAUUAGAUACCCCCGUAGUCCCUGUCUCUUAUAU